GAUGAAGAACGCAGCGAAAUGCGAUAAGUAAUGUGAAUUGCAGAAUUCAGUGAAUCAUCGAAUCUUUGAACGCACAUUGCGCCCGCUAGUAUUCUGGCGGGCAUGCCUGUCCGAGCGUCAUUUCAACCCUCAAGCCCCCCGGCUUGGUGUUGGGGACCGGCCACCGGUGCCCUGCUGCUUCCGCGGCAGGCGCACCCGGCCGCCCCCGAAAUGAAUUGGCGGCCCCGUCGCGGCCUCCCUCUGCGUAGUAGCACACAUCUCGCAGCUGGAGCGCGGCGCGGCCACUGCCGUAAAACGCACCAACUUUUUUUACAGUUGACCUCGAAUCAGGUAGGAAUACCCGCUGAACUUAAGCAUAUCAAUAAGCGGAGGA
This 373-nucleotide unclassified non-coding RNA is filed under the name soil metagenome. RNAcentral's name for it is "partial contains 5.8S ribosomal RNA, internal transcribed spacer 2, and large subunit ribosomal RNA". The stretch from base 1 to 120 matches the Rfam family "5.8S ribosomal RNA", at positions 35 to 154 of the family's 154-position model. The record is from RNAcentral.